Molecule: ribosomal RNA, 419 nt
Filed under: uncultured bacterium
Lineage: Bacteria
Description: bacterial SSU rRNA
Rfam family: Bacterial small subunit ribosomal RNA
Source: RNAcentral
GGAAUCUUCGGCAAUGGGCGAAAGCCUGACCGAGCAACGCCGCGUGAGUGAAGAAGGUUUUCGGAUCGUAAAACUCUGUUGUUAGAGAAGAACAAGUGGGAGAGUAACUGUUCCCACCUUGACGGUAUCUAACCAGAAAGCCACGGCUAACUACGUGCCAGCAGCCGCGGUAAUACGUAGGUGGCAAGCGUUAUCCGGAAUUACUGGGCGUAAAGGGUGCGUAGGUGGUUUCUUAAGUCAGAGGUGAAAGGCUACGGCUCAACCGUAGUAAGCCUUUGAAACUGGGAGACUUGAGUGCAGAAGAGGAGAGUGGAAUUCCAUGUGUAGCGGUGAAAUGCGUAGAUAUAUGGAGGAACACCAGUGGCGAAGGCGGCUCUCUGGUCUGUAACUGACGCUGAGGCUCGAAAGCGUGGGGAGCA